Molecule: ribosomal RNA, 656 nt
Filed under: Bacillus infantis
Lineage: Bacteria; Bacillati; Bacillota; Bacilli; Caryophanales; Bacillaceae
Description: bacterial SSU rRNA
Rfam family: Bacterial small subunit ribosomal RNA
Source: RNAcentral
GCUUGCUCCCUGAAGUCAGCGGCGGACGGGUGAGUAACACGUGGGCAACCUGCCUGUAAGACUGGGAUAACUUCGGGAAACCGGAGCUAAUACCGGAUAAUGCAUAACCUCUCAUGAGGCUAUGCUGAAAGAUGGUUUCGGCUAUCACUUACAGAUGGGCCCGCGGCGCAUUAGCUAGUUGGUGAGGUAACGGCUCACCAAGGCAACGAUGCGUAGCCGACCUGAGAGGGUGAUCGGCCACACUGGGACUGAGACACGGCCCAGACUCCUACGGGAGGCAGCAGUAGGGAAUCUUCCGCAAUGGACGAAAGUCUGACGGAGCAACGCCGCGUGAGUGAUGAAGGUUUUCGGAUCGUAAAACUCUGUUGUUAGGGAAGAACAAGUGCCGGAGUAACUGCCGGCACCUUGACGGUACCUAACCAGAAAGCCACGGCUAACUACGUGCCAGCAGCCGCGGUAAUACGUAGGUGGCAAGCGUUGUCCGGAAUUAUUGGGCGUAAAGCGCGCGCAGGCGGUCUCUUAAGUCUGAUGUGAAAGCCCACGGCUCAACCGUGGAGGGUCAUUGGAAACUGGGGGACUUGAGUGCAGAAGAGGAAAGUGGAAUUCCACGUGUAGCGGUGAAAUGCGUAGAGAUGUGGAGGAACACCAGUGGCGAA